ACAUUGUAUUCUUUUAUAAUAAACAUAGACUAGAUUUUAACCCGCGGUAUACCGCGGGACGAUUUAUUUUUUAAAAGUAAUAUAUAUUAAAACUUGCAAAUUUUAUUUUUAUAAAAUAUUUUUAUUUUACAGUUUAUAAUUGUUAUUAGGUAACGUUAUACCACGAAUCCAUGAGAUAAUUGUUAAAUUUUUAUAAAUAUUGAUUCAAAUACAUCCACCAUAUAACCCAAUUCCAAAAUAAAACCCGUUUUGUAAUUUUUUUACCCGUCCCGUGAUUUUUUUUUUAAAGUAGUAAUUUUAAAAAUUUAAGAAUUAUUUUUUAUAUAUAAAAGUUUUGCAAAUUGUAUCAUUCUCUAAUACAUUUAUAUUUUAUU
RNAcentral lists this small RNA (374 nucleotides) under Arabidopsis thaliana (thale cress). RNAcentral's name for it is "ATSL112390". The record is from RNAcentral. Lineage: Eukaryota; Viridiplantae; Streptophyta; Magnoliopsida; Brassicales; Brassicaceae.